RNAcentral lists this ribosomal RNA (463 nucleotides) under uncultured bacterium. RNAcentral describes it as "bacterial SSU rRNA". It matches the Rfam family "Bacterial small subunit ribosomal RNA", at positions 32 to 507 of the family's 1533-position model. The record is from RNAcentral.
AACGCUGGCGGCGCGCCUAACACAUGCAAGUCGAACGAGAGAUGAAGAGCUUGCUCUUCAAAUCGAGUGGCGAACGGGUGAGUAACGCGUGAGGAACCUGCCUCAAAGAGGGGGACGAACAGUUGGAAACGACUGCUAAUACCGCAUAAGCCCACGGGUCGGCAUCGACCAGAGGGAAAAGGAGCAAUCCGCUUUGAGAUGGCCUCGCGUCCGAUUAGCUAGUUGGUGAGGUAAUGGCCCACCAAGGCGACGAUCGGUAGCCGGACUGAGAGGUUGAACGGCCACAUUGGGACUGAGACACGGCCCAGACUCCUACGGGAGGCAGCAGUGGGGAAUAUUGCACAAUGGGGGAAACCCUGAUGCAGCGACGCCGCGUGGAGGAAGAAGGUCUUCGGAUUGUAAACUCCUGUUGUUGAGGAAGAUAAUGACGGUACUCAACAAGGAAGUGACGGCUAACUACGUG